AAAAUAAAAAUUAAUAAAUUUAAAUUUAAUAAAAAUAAUUUUAAUAUUAAAAUAAAUAAUGGGGGUUAAAGUAUUUUAAUAGAAAAAAUUAUAAAAUUUAUAGUAAAUUAGUAUAGUAAUAGAAAUUUGAAAUAGUUGAAAAUUAAUUUUUAAAAAAGUAAAUUUAAAUUAUUGUAUCUUGUGUAUCAGAGUUUAUUAAAUAAUAUUAUUAAAUAAAAAUAUCUCGAAUUUAAAAGAGUUAAUUAAUUAAUAAAGUUAAUGUAAAAUAAUUAUUUUAAAUAAUUAAUUUGAAAUGAAAUGUUAAUCGUUUUUAAAUAUAUCUAGUUAUUUUAGAAAAAAGUUUAAUUUUAAAUUUAUUUAUUAAAUAUAUUAAAUUAAUUAAUAUAAAAAAAAAAUAAAUUUUAUAAUUUAAGGGAUAAGCUUUAAAUUAAAGAGUUAUAAUAAUAAUUUAAAGUAAAUAAAAUUUUUAAAAUUUAUAUUGUUUAAAAAUUAUAAUUUAUUAUAAAAAAUUUUAAUAAAAAUAAAAUUUAAAAUAAUUUAAUUUUUUAUAAAAAUAUAAUUUGUAAUAAAAAAAUAUUAGAAAAAAUGAUAAAAUUAGUAUAAAAAUAAAAAUAAAAUUAUAAAUUAAUGUAAAGUAAUUAAAAGGAAUUCGGCAAAAAUAUAUAUUCACCUGUUUAACAAAAACAUGUCUUUUUGAAAAAUAAUUUAAAGUCUAAUCUGCCCACUGAUUUUAUAUUAAAGGGCUGCAGUAUAUUGACUGUACAAAGGUAGCAUAAUCAUUAGUCUUUUAAUUGAAGACUUGUAUGAAAGAUUUGAUGAAAUAUAAACUGUCUCUUAAUUAUUAUUAGAAUUUAAUUUUUUAGUUAAAAAGCUAAAAUUUAAUUAAAAGACGAGAAGACCCUAUAGAGUUUUAUAAUUAUUUAUUUAAUAUAUUUAUAUAAAAUUUUAAUAUUUUAAAUAAAUAAUUAUUUUAUUGGGGUGAUAAAAAAAUUUAUAAAACUUUUUUUAAAAGUAAACAAAAAUAAUUGAAUAAAUGAUCCAUAAAUAAUGAUUAAAAGAAAAAAUUACCUUAGGGAUAACAGCGUAAUAUUUUUUUUUAGUACAAAUAAAAAAAAAAGUUUGCGACCUCGAUGUUGGAUUAAGAUAAAAUUUAAAUGCAAAAGUUUAAAAUUUUGAUCUGUUCGAUCAUUAAAAUCUUACAUGAUCUGAGUUCAAACCGGUGUAAGCCAGGUUGGUUUCUAUCUUUAAUAAAAUAAAAUAUUUUA
This 1265-nucleotide ribosomal RNA is filed under the name Japonica lutea dubatolovi. Its description in RNAcentral is "partial 16S ribosomal RNA". Lineage: Eukaryota; Metazoa; Arthropoda; Insecta; Lepidoptera; Lycaenidae. The record is from RNAcentral.